Molecule: non-coding RNA, 84 nt
Organism: Orbilia ellipsospora
Lineage: Eukaryota; Fungi; Ascomycota; Orbiliomycetes; Orbiliales; Orbiliaceae
Source: the annotation of a GenBank genome assembly
GCGUUUGUGGUUGAGUGGUACAAUUCGUCGUUGCCAUUGUAAGAUGAUAUCGAUGAGGCCCGGGUUCGAUUCCCGGCGAACGCA